UAGAAUCCCUCCUCCUCUUUGGCUUCUGUUUACUGCAGGAAGCUGCAAACAUUUUAGAUGACCUUGCAAAGAAAAACUAAAUCAGGUGUCACGUUCCAAUUCAAAGCCACUAAGCAGCGUGACCCGGGGAGUGGAAAAUGAGACAGAAGAUGGCAAAGAAGAGUCAGCUGAGGAAUUACAAUAAGGAGAUCGUAUGGAAUUUCUGUUCACAAUUAGAAUGAGAAAAUGUGAAAACUGUAAGCUCAAGUUCAUCCCUGAGAAGAGGAGAAGAGCAAACAGCCUGUGACCCGCACCAGCCUAGGACUGAGGGCAUGGGUGACACUGAAACCAUCUACAAGCAACAAACUCUGGAAUGGGACUGACAGUGGUCCUUGCACUGCCUUCUAAUGGAAUGAAGCUGGAUACGGGGCCAUGGUGCCCGACUGAAGGGUGACCUAAUGACUGCAGCCCUUUGCCUGAGCAAUAUGCUUGUGGCCCCAGCUCCCUGAAGGACAGGGAUUUACAGGGAAGGUGGAACA
Molecule: long non-coding RNA, 518 nt
Organism: Gallus gallus (chicken)
Lineage: Eukaryota; Metazoa; Chordata; Aves; Galliformes; Phasianidae
Exons: 3
Source: RefSeq, a predicted model, not a curated record